UAACGAUUCAGUAUGGCAAUUUGUUGUUGCCACUGGUGACAUCAGCUGCCACGCAAGAGCAUCGUGAUGGAGUGCUGGGACUUGGGCGUCAUCGCCUCAUUGGUGGCACUUUACUCAUCGCUUCCGUCGUCACCGAAGAUCAGGGCCGUUACAUUUGAUUCGUCAACAGUUCCAUUGGAUUAGUCGAAUCACGUACCGAACUCAUUUUUCGUGUCAAAUUACAAGUCAGAAUCGUUGAACGUCGUCGUCGCCGCAUAGAAUGCACAGCACAUUUAAGUCACCGAUCCAGAAACGUCCGUCACCAUCACGUGUCAUUUCUCCGGCCGGUUGUCAGUUGGCUCAAAGAUGGCCAGCGCUUCUUGGUGGGUAAUAGUGGUCGUGUUUCUUCUUCAUCCGGCGACGACGGCUACACCGAUAUGGUCCAGUUAUCCAUUUCGUCCGUCCAACGUGAAGAUGAGGGAAUAUACCAAUGCCUGGCAUCCAAUGACGAAGGAGAUUGGGCCAAGCAUCAGCCCAUCUGGCCAUUGGAGCAUUUCAUCCUCAUUUGAAAGAAACGUUCAGUCGGCAAGUUGUACAUCCGGGAAGUUCAGUCUCGUUGAAAUGUUUAGCCUCUGGCACUCCGCUGCCUCAUUUCACUUGGACGCUGGACGGGUUUCCGUUAUCGCCCGUUUCCGAACGAUAUUUCCUCGGCCAGCAGCAACAAACGGGUCACGACGAUCUUGUAGUGGCUCAUCUCAACAUAACCCACGUCCGAGUCGAAGACGGAGGCAAUUACAAAUUUGACGAUCGAUCCGUUGGAUAAGAGCAGCGACGCCGGUCUUUAUAGUUGCGAGGUGCGUGGCCAGAACGGACUCUCGGCUCGCCAGUCACUUCAACUCAACAUCCUCGGAAAUGAAGCCAUUGUGCAUAUUGCAUCAACCAAGGGCGAAAUGUUACCACAUAUAGGCCAAUGUUACAACGGACACAUGAAGUCUGUAUGUUGGUACAGUUUAUCAACAGGCAUAAGAGCAUGUUCGGGCAAUAAUUGUGGGAUAGUUUAGGUAGAUUCUUUGCUGCGUCAUAGCUCGGGAGUCGUAACGGGCAAUACCCUUGUGCAUUAAGUUGGUGAACUCUUGUGUUCCAUUGGGUAAUGCUAUCAAAUCUUAAUGUGCUAUUUGUGAAAGAUUUUAUUAUUCUGUAUGUUUUAAAGGAAAAUAUUUCAAAUUGAUUUAUUUGCAUGUUACGGAGUUUGGUUUUUUUUCUGAUCUGUGGAGCCUGACAUUUUCCACAAUUUCUAUCGGCGGACAAAAUGUCUUUUAGGAUUGGUAGCAGCUUACGAAGCAGUAGGUUCCAACAUCAUCUAACGUCUGCUUUAGUAAUGGCAGGGAUGUGAAUAAUAAUUUGUGAAAUCAAACAACUUAAGCAGGUGCCUAGCUCAACAACUCCUAUGAAAUCUAGAUUGGUGGUGGUAGUUAUAGGGCGCCUGUUCAGGCAACAGUUUCGUUUUUUAAUCCGCCAAGGAUUUAUGCGUUAUUGCGUCUACUGUGUAGCCUGAGUAGCAUACGCAAGGGGGCAUUUAUCUACAUUCCUGAUCACCAAGCAGUUACAAAUAUGUUCUACACUGAUAAGCAUCAGAGGCAAAGGGCGAGCUGAACUAGUCUAUUGCCCCUCAACUCCAGAGGGCACUAGUUUACAGCAACUCGGGCUCACCCUUUGGAGAGUGGAUUCUCAUUUCUUCUUCAUACCAGCGAGCAGAUUUGAGGUUAAAAAUUGUUUUAGGUUGUUAAGCAAGUCUGACUUUCUACGAUGUGCAUGACCGCCAAACUUUGUCGUUAUGUCUGACUGUUAAUCGGUAAGAAAAACGGCGAAUUAUUGACGAUACGUUUGUCAAAAUGGCAAAUACAACGCCUAACGAUUUAAAUCUAACUUGGGAUAAUCUACUUCUCGGACAAGGUACUUUGAGACCGGAUCUAAUUGAGUCCGCUUUCCAUAUGGCUUCUUCGCGCACUGUUGCCAUGAAGACUCGUCAUAACGAUUCCGAAAUGGUUCGUCAAUUUCGCAUUCACGGCCGUGUAGUAGAACCUAUUAAAGACUUCCUUAAAGAUGAAGUAAGAGCCUUAGGUCGUGAGCUGGGUUUGCCCGCACAAUUACUGGAACGUUACCCGUUUCCUGGUCCCGGCUUGUCAAUUUGAAUCAUUUACGCCGAAGAGCCGUACUUGGAAGCUAAUUUCGAUGAGACGCAAGUGCUGAUUCGUUCGAUGGUCCAUUAUGCCAACAUAGCAGCCAAGGAACAUGCCUUGCUCAAUCGGAUUGAAAUCGUGACGUCGGAAGAAGAACGUCUUCUUCUGGGAGAAAUGUCUAGUCGCAACCAGUAUGUUGCCACGCUACUGCCUAUUCGCACUGUCGGUGUUCAGGUACAGGAGGUUGCAGAAAAAUGUGUCGGGUAUGGCAAACAAAGCAUAGGGAAAACCGCCACAUUUUUCUGCAAUAUACUGUACAACAGAUUCGCAAUUUAGACGUUGUCGUAAUAAUGCCGCGAUCAUAAUCAGCUCUUAUUCAAGGUAGAUGAUAGGUGCCACCGUAUCUACGCCAAGGGUCCUUGUGAUCAUGGCCAAUGGCUUGAGCCGGAUACCAACGACUAUGGCACCUGUCGCCCUUUGCCUUGCCCAGUAAGCAAAUGCAACGGUCGCCAGAUCUACUGGAAGUCAACACUAAAUUCUGAAGGUAGCUGUUAUAAAUCGUUCACACGUGGGCCUGCAGGCGAAGUAGCUAUUUCCUCGUUGAAGAAUAUGGCACUCGAAGAGGUCGAUGUGUUUCUCAAUUUGGAUCAUCCUAUGAAUCCUAUGUCCUUCCGUCACGCUAUCCCAGGAUGAGGAACCCUUACGACAUGAUGUACUCCAACAACGUGAUGAGCCCAUGAUCGAAAUUUGGCAUGUAUCCGCCGUUUGGCAUGCAGGAAGAUUAGCGGAGACGACUAUCCUGACAUUCCUAGUUUCGAUUACUGAACUAGAAACAGUUUUACAGAACCAUUCACAUGGUUUUGUCUCUAUUAUUUCAUUUUAAAAAUGCGAUUGCAAAUUUUCUAUUGUGACGUAUGGCGGAUAAAAAACAACCUUAAUUAGUUUUAAUGCAUGAAUUCGUUUGCCAAUAAUAUGUGUAUGAAGAAAAUGUUUUCACUUUGAAACAGAGUCAUGGAACCCAUCGGUUUCCAUGACUCUGCUUUGAAAGUUUGAACAGGGAUUUCUGUUUUACCUUUCUGCGAUGCGGCAACACAGCAUUGCAUGUCGAUCUGCGAACGUUUGACAACUCGCUGGUAUUGCAACAGGUUAAUAGUUUUGUGUCAAGUAAAUUUCAAGUGCGAGUAACUGCUGGAAGAUUGCAAGCGAAAUCUGCAUGUGUCGUGUCAUUGUUCUAAGUGUUGGAGACUUUUUUCGUUUUGAUUAGGCAUUCAUGUUUGGGAACAAUACCUGAAGUUGGAUAUCGCCUAGUGAUAUUUACAUAUUAAGUCCUAUUUUAAGACACUUGGGGCGAUACGUUUCGCAACAAAGAUCUAUACAGUACUCAAAAGAUGACCCACAAGCACUACGCCACCACGAUUGAGACAAGGUAAAACACAAAACUAUAAAGCGCCAUUUAUCAAUAAUGAAUGAAUUUCCUCAUUCUAACAAUAAUUUAAGAAAAUGUAAAUGUAUACUUAGCUGUGGUAAUUAUUUCGUUUACAUCGACUACACUUCAAUAAUUUACAAGUGGGAAAGUGUUGCCUAUAAGCAACAAGAAGGUAUUGUGCAUGUUUAUGAGCGAAUCAUGGCUUAAUGGGUGAGUGUCGGAUUGUACCGCUGGAUGUUUGUGGAUCAAAUACCAUCAAAGGUAAAAAGUA
Molecule: long non-coding RNA, 3856 nt
Organism: Daphnia magna
Lineage: Eukaryota; Metazoa; Arthropoda; Branchiopoda; Diplostraca; Daphniidae
Exons: 12
Source: RefSeq, a predicted model, not a curated record